ACGGAAGGCAGCAGUGGGGAAUAUUGCACAAUGGGGGGAACCCUGAACCAGCCAAGUCGCGUGAGGGAAGACGGCCCUACGGGUUGUAAACCUCUUUUGCGCGGGGGUAAAGUCGGGGACGUGUCCCCGAUUGCAAGUACCGCGCGAAUAAGGAUCGGCUAACUCCGUGCCAGCAGCCGCGGUAAUACGGAGGAUCCGAGUGUUAUCCGGAUUUAUUGGGUUUAAAGGGUGCGUAGGCGGGACGUCAAGUCAGUGGUGAAAUGGUGCGGCUCAACCGUAGCACCGCCGUUGAAACUGGGGUCCUUGAGUGCGAAUGAGGUACGCGGAACGUGUCAUGUAGCGGUGAAAUGCAUAGAUAUGACACAGAACACCGAUUGCGAAGGCAGCGUACUGGGACGCGACUGACGCUGAGGCACGAAAGUGCGGGGAUCGAACAGGAUUAGAUACCCUGGUA
Molecule: ribosomal RNA, 454 nt
Filed under: uncultured Paludibacter sp.
Lineage: Bacteria; Pseudomonadati; Bacteroidota; Bacteroidia; Bacteroidales; Paludibacteraceae
Description: partial 16S ribosomal RNA
Rfam family: Bacterial small subunit ribosomal RNA
Source: RNAcentral